AUGAUCCCCAGCUUGCUGGGGGGAUUAGUGGCGAACGGGUGAGUAACACGUGAGUAACCUGCCCUGGACUCUGGGAUAACCCCGAGAAAUCGGAGCUAAUACCGGAUAGGACCUUUCCUCGCAUGAGGGUUGGUGGAAAGUUUUUCGGUUUGGGAUGGACUCGCGGCCUAUCAGCUUGUUGGUGAGGUAAUGGCUCACCAAGGCGUCGACGGGUAGCCGGCCUGAGAGGGUGACCGGCCACACUGGGACUGAGACACGGCCCAGACUCCUACGGGAGGCAGCAGUGGGGAAUAUUGCACAAUGGGCGCAAGCCUGAUGCAGCAACGCCGCGUGCGGGAUGACGGCCUUCGGGUUGUAAACCGCUUUUAGUAGGGAAGAAGCCUUUCGGGGUGACGGUACCUGCAGAAAAAGGACCGGCUAACUACGUGCCAGCAGCCGCGGUAAUACGUAGGGUCCGAGCGUUGUCCGGAAUUAUUGGGCGUAAAGAGCUCGUAGGCGGUUUGUCGCGUCUGCUGUGAAAUCCCGAGGCUCAACCUCGGGCCUGCAGUGGGUACGGGCAGACUUGAGUGGUGUAGGGGAGACUGGAAUUCCUGGUGUAGCGGUGGAAUGCGCAGAUAUCAGGAGGAACACCGAUGGCGAAGGCAGGUCUCUGGGCACUUACUGACGCUGAGGAGCGAAAGCGUGGGGAGCGAACAGGAUUAGAUACCCUGGUAGUCCACGCCGUAAACGUUGGGCGCUAGAUGUGGGGACCUUUCCACGGUUUCCGUGUCGUAGCUAACGCAUUAAGCGCCCCGCCUGGGGAGUAC
This 806-nucleotide ribosomal RNA is filed under the name uncultured Agromyces sp. RNAcentral's name for it is "bacterial SSU rRNA". It matches the Rfam family "Bacterial small subunit ribosomal RNA", at positions 69 to 883 of the family's 1533-position model. Lineage: Bacteria; Bacillati; Actinomycetota; Actinomycetes; Micrococcales; Microbacteriaceae. The record is from RNAcentral.